This 262-nucleotide long non-coding RNA is filed under the name Phoenix dactylifera (date palm). RNAcentral's name for it is "long non-coding RNA (PDAC_LNC007300)". Lineage: Eukaryota; Viridiplantae; Streptophyta; Magnoliopsida; Arecales; Arecaceae. The record is from RNAcentral.
AAAAAAAAAGAAAUAGAAAAAAAACAUGAGGAGGCUUAUUUCUUUGAUGGAGGGCUGAUAUCCUAGGUGAUGGGUGAAGGGAGAUCAUUUGGUGUACCAAGUUCAUGAUGUAAAUUCUAAUCCUUUGCUUUAUACGAUUUAUCUUUUGAUUAUGUCAUGAUUCUUAUAUGUUGAAAAUUCUUUUAUGAUUUAUGCUUAUUGAUACAUGUCUUCCUCGAUUAUUUGAUUCAUCGUUGACGUUAUAAGGCACGUUGAAUGCUUA